AUUGAACGCUGGCGGCAGGCCUAACACAUGCAAGUCGAGCGGAUGAAGGGAGCUUGCUCCUGGAUUCAGCGGCGGACGGGUGAGUAAUGCCUAGGAAUCUGCCUGGUAGUGGGGGAUAACGUCCGGAAACGGGCGCUAAUACCGCAUACGUCCUGAGGGAGAAAGUGGGGGAUCUUCGGACCUCACGCUAUCAGAUGAGCCUAGGUCGGAUUAGCUAGUUGGCGGGGUAAAGGCCUACCAAGGCGACGAUCCGUAACUGGUCUGAGAGGAUGAUCAGUCACACUGGAACUGAGACACGGUCCAGACUCCUACGGGAGGCAGCAGUGGGGAAGAUUGGACAAUGGGCGAAAGCCUGAUCCAGCCAUGCCGCGUGUGUGAAGAAGGUCUUCGGAUUGUAAAGCACUUUAAGUUGGGAGGAAGGGCAGUAAGUUAAUACCUUGCUGUUUUGACGUUACCAACAGAAUAAGCACCGGCUAACUUCGUG
RNAcentral lists this ribosomal RNA (484 nucleotides) under uncultured bacterium. RNAcentral's name for it is "partial 16S ribosomal RNA". It matches the Rfam family "Bacterial small subunit ribosomal RNA", at positions 30 to 507 of the family's 1533-position model. The record is from RNAcentral.